GUGCUAUGAUGACAUUCCAUAGUGGUUUCAUCAAACUGAUAAUUUAAUGAGAACACUAAAUUCCUUGGCUGUAUCUGAGCAC
This is a small nucleolar RNA of Monodelphis domestica (gray short-tailed opossum), 82 nucleotides long. NCBI's taxonomy places the organism in Eukaryota, Metazoa, Chordata, Mammalia, Didelphimorphia, Didelphidae. The record is from Ensembl.